GCAGUGAAGACUUGCGGAUGUGGAGGCC
This 28-nucleotide small RNA is filed under the name Bombyx mori (domestic silkworm). Its description in RNAcentral is "ovarian small RNA-5287". Lineage: Eukaryota; Metazoa; Arthropoda; Insecta; Lepidoptera; Bombycidae. The record is from RNAcentral.